Molecule: ribosomal RNA, 775 nt
Filed under: uncultured Neocallimastigales
Lineage: Eukaryota; Fungi; Neocallimastigomycota; Neocallimastigomycetes; Neocallimastigales
Description: partial large subunit ribosomal RNA
Rfam family: Eukaryotic large subunit ribosomal RNA
Source: RNAcentral
UACUAGAGUAGCACUCGCAUAUCAAUAAGCGGAGGAAAAGAAACUAACAAGGAUUCCCCUAGUAACGGCGAGUGAAGCGGGAAGAGCUCAAAUUUGAAAUCUUAAAGGGUUUCCCUUUACGAAUUGUAGUUUAAAGAAGUGUUUUCUGUUGAGGUUUUGGUAAAAGUUCUUUGGAAUAGGGACAUCAUAGAGGGUGAGAAUCCCGUAUUUGACCUUUACUUUCAACUUUGUGAUACACUUUCAAAGAGUCGGAUUGUUUGGGAAUGCAGUCCAAAAUGGGUGGUAAAUUUCAUCUAAAGCUAAAUAUUGGCGAGAGACCGAUAGCGAACAAGUACCGUGAGGGAAAGAUGAAAAGAACUUUGAAAAGAGAGUUAAACAGUACGUGAAAUUGUCAAAAGGGAAGCGUUUGACACCAGUGUUGUUUUUCUGAAAAUCAAUUAAAGAACUGUUUAUGCUAAGCUGUUUAGACUUUAUCAGCUAUCUGUUUAGUUUUGAGCUUUUCUUUAAUGCACUUUUCAGUUAACAAGUCAACAUCAAUUUCUUUUGCUGUAAAAAAGCUUGAGGAAGGUGGCUUGAGAUUCGUCUUAAGUGUUUAUAGCCUCUUGCCUAUGCAGUCGGAGAGAUUGAGGUCUGCAGCGUAGAUCCUUCGGGGCUAAAUGCAUUUGUGCUAAGUUAUAGCAUUUUAUAGACAACUUGUUGACUAUGAUUUGUCUUGUAGCUUACUCGCUUAUGUUAUUUUACCUACGCUUAGGAUGUUGAACUCUAUCACACACAG